ACUCUUUCGGGAGUGUGUUAUAGACUCGAGUCGAAUGCGAUGGUUGGGACUGAGGAACUCAGCACGACCUUAGGGUUCGGGACUUCGGUCCACGUUUGCGUGCUUAGGAUGCUGGCAUAAUGGCCUUAAGCGACCCGUCUUGAAACACGGACCAAGGAGUCUAGCAUAUAUGCGAGUGUUAAACACUCGCACACAUGUUAGAACCCUUCUGCA
This 213-nucleotide ribosomal RNA is filed under the name Paraglomus brasilianum. The record is from RNAcentral. Lineage: Eukaryota; Fungi; Glomeromycota; Glomeromycetes; Paraglomerales; Paraglomeraceae.